GACGAACGCUGGCGGCGUGCUUAACACAUGCAAGUCGAACGGAAAGGCCCUGCUUUUGUGGGGUGCUCGAGUGGCGAACGGGUGAGUAACACGUGAGUAACCUGCCCUUGACUUUGGGAUAACUUCAGGAAACUGGGGCUAAUACCGGAUAGGAGCUCCUGCUGCAUGGUGGGGGUUGGAAAGUUUCGGCGGUUGGGGCUGGACUCGCGGCUUAUCCGCUGGUUGGUGGGGUAGUGGCUUACCAAGGCUUUGACGGGUAGCCGGCCUGAGAGGGUGACAGGCCACAUUGGGCCUGAGAUAGGGCCCAGACUCCUACGGGAGGCAGCAGGGGGGAAUAUUGCACAAUGGGCGGACGCAUGAUGCAGCAACGCCGCGUGCGGGAUGACGGCCUUCGGGUUGUAAACCGCUUUCGCCUGUGACGAAGCGUGAGUGACGGUAAUGGGGAAAGAAGCACCGGCUAACUACGU
This 467-nucleotide ribosomal RNA is filed under the name uncultured bacterium. RNAcentral's name for it is "partial 16S ribosomal RNA". It matches the Rfam family "Bacterial small subunit ribosomal RNA", at positions 28 to 506 of the family's 1533-position model. The record is from RNAcentral.